CAGUAGCCGCGGUAAAACCAGCAGCCCAAGUGGUGGUCGCGCUUAUUGGGCCUAAAGCGCUCGUAGCCUGGCCGGUAAGUUCCCCGUGAAAUCGGGUCGCCCAACGAUUCGGCUUGCGGGGAAUACUGUCGGUCUUGGGGCCGGGAGACGCCGAGGGUACUCCGGGGGUAGCGGUGAAAUGCUGUAAUCCUCGGGGGACUACCAGUGGCGAAGGCGCUCGGCGAUAACGGGCCUGACGGUGAGGGGCGAAAGCUGGGGGCGCGAACGGGAUUAGAUACCCCCGUAGUCCCUGUCUCUUAUA
RNAcentral lists this ribosomal RNA (301 nucleotides) under uncultured bacterium. RNAcentral's name for it is "partial 16S ribosomal RNA". It matches the Rfam family "Archaeal small subunit ribosomal RNA", at positions 459 to 759 of the family's 1478-position model. The record is from RNAcentral.